Molecule: ribosomal RNA, 253 nt
Filed under: uncultured bacterium
Lineage: Bacteria
Description: partial 16S ribosomal RNA
Rfam family: Bacterial small subunit ribosomal RNA
Source: RNAcentral
UACAGAGGGGGCAAGCGUUGUUCGGAAUUACUGGGCGUAAAGGGCGCGUAGGCGGCCCGCUAAGUCGAACGUGAAAUCCCCAGGCUCAACCUGGGAACUGCGUCCGAUACUGGCAGGCUUGAAUCCGGGAGAGGGAUGUGGAAUUCCAGGUGUAGCGGUGAAAUGCGUAGAUAUCUGGAGGAACACCGGUGGCGAAGGCGGCAUCCUGGACCAACACUGACGCUGAGGAGCGAAAGCCAGGGGAGCAAACGGG